CAGCAGCCGCGGGAAUACGAAGGGGGCUAGCGUUGCUCGGAAUUACUGGGCGUAAAGGGAGCGUAGGCGGACAUUUAAGUCAGGGGUGAAAUCCCAGAGCUCAACUCUGGAACUGCCUUUGAUACUGGGUGUCUUGAGUGUGAUAGAGGUAUGUGGAACUCCGAGUGUAGAGGUGAAAUUCGUAGAUAUUCGGAAGAACACCAGUGGCGAAGGCGACAUACUGGAUCAUUACUGACGCUGAGGCUCGAAAGCGUGGGGAGCAAACAGGAUUAGAUACCCGGGUAGUCCCUGUCUCUUAUAC
RNAcentral lists this ribosomal RNA (301 nucleotides) under uncultured bacterium. RNAcentral's name for it is "partial 16S ribosomal RNA". It matches the Rfam family "Bacterial small subunit ribosomal RNA", at positions 509 to 807 of the family's 1533-position model. The record is from RNAcentral.